Molecule: ribosomal RNA, 2383 nt
Filed under: metagenome
Description: bacterial LSU rRNA
Rfam family: Bacterial large subunit ribosomal RNA
Source: RNAcentral
CCGAAUGGGGAAACCCACUUAGGGUAAUGCCUAAGUAUCUAUAUCUGAACACAUAGGAUAUAAGAAGGGAACUUGGUGAACUGAAACAUCUAAGUAACCAGAGGAAAAAAAAUCAAACGAGAUUCCCUUAGUAGUGGCGAGCGAAACGGGAAAAGCCUAAACCCUAUAUGUGUAAGCAUGCAGGCGUUGCAUAUAGGGUGUUGUAGGGUUGUUUAUGAUAAGACUGCUUUCUUGUCCUUAAGUUACAAAUCAUCAUUUUAGUAGAAUAUGUUGGAAAGCAUAACCAUAGAAGGUGAUAGUCCUGUAAGCGAAAAAAUGGUGACUUAAGAAACAAUUCCUGAGUACCAUGGGACACGAGAAAUCUUGUGGGAAUCCGGGUGGACCAUCAUCCAAGGCUAAAUACUAGUGUGUAACCGAUAGUGUACCAGUACCGUGAGGGAAAGGUGAAAAGAACCCCGAGAGGGGAGUGAAAUAGAACGUGAAACCGUGUGCCUACAAGCUGUCGGAGGUUUCUUAUGAGACUGACGGCGUGCCUAUUGAAGAAUGUGCCGGCGACUUAAUGUUAACAGCAAGGUUAAGUUUGAAAACGGAGCCGUAGCGAAAGCGAGUCUGAAUAGGGCGUUUAGUUGUUGGCAUUAGACCCGAAACCUAGUGAUCUAUCCAUGGGCAGGAUGAAGCGAAAGUAACAUUUCGUGGAGGUCCGAACCGUUGUAUGUUGAAAAAUGCUCGGAUGACCUGUGGAUAGUGGUGAAAUGCUAAUCGAACUAGGAGAUAUCUGGCUCUCUCCGAAAUGACUUUAGGGUCAGCCUCAAAUGUUUAAACCUGGAGGUAGAGCACUGUUUAGGCUAGGGGGAUUACCAAUCCUACCGAACUUAGGCAAACUCCGAAUGCCAGGUGGUAUAAUUUGGGAGUGAGACAUAGGGGGCUAAGCUCCUAUGUCAAGAGGGAAACAGCCCAGAUCGUCAGCUAAGGUCCCUAAAAUAUGCUAAGUGGAAAAGGAAGUGGAGUUGCUUAAACAACCAGGAGGUUGGCUUAGAAGCAGCCAUCCUUUAAAGAAAGCGUAAUAGCUCACUGGUCGAGCGAUUCUGCGCCGAAAAUGUAACGGGGCUCAAGCAUAUUACCGAAGCUACGAACUUUUUAUUAAGUGGUAGGAGAGCGUUCUGUCUUAGGUUGAAGUCAAACUGUGAAGUUUGGUGGACGAAACAGAAGUGAGAAUGUCGGCAUGAGUAGCGAAAAGAUAAGUGAGAAUCUUAUCCGUCGAAAAACUAAGGUUUCCUGGGCAAGGCUCGUCCUCCCAGGGUUAGUCGGUGACUAAGGCGAGGCCGAAAGGCGUAGUCGAUGUGCAACAGGUUAAUAUUCCUGUACUACCCGUAAGUCGUUAUUAGCGAAGGGGUGACGCAGUAGGAUAGGUCAGCCACUUAUUGGAUUGUGGUUUAAGUAUGUAGGUAGAAGAGAAUGGUAAAUCCGUCUUUUUGUUAAUCUGAGAUACGAGUACGAUUCGCUUGCGAAGAAGUGAUUGAUUCCACACUGACAAGAAAAACCUCUAGUGAGAUUUAUAGGUAACCGUACUAAAACCAACACAGGUAGUUAGGUAGAGUAUACUAAGACGCGCGAGAUAACCCUCGUUAAGGAACUCGGCAAAUUAGCCUCGUAACUUCGGGAGAAGAGGUGCCUCAUAUAGGUGAAGCCCAUACGGGUGGAGCCUAAAGAGGUUGCAGUGAAAUGGCUCAAGCGACUGUUUAUCAAAAACACAGGUCCCUGCUAAACCGCAAGGUGAUGUAUAGGGGCUGACGCCUGCCCAGUGCUGGAAGGUUAAAGGGAGAUGUUAGUGACCUCGGUUGCGAAGCAUUGAACUGAAGCCCCAGUGAACGGCGGGCCGUAACUAUAACGGUCCUAAGGUAGCGAAAUUCCUUGUCGGGUAAGUUCCGACCCGCACGAAAGGCGUAACGAAUUGAGCACUGUCUCAACGAGGGACUCGGUGAAAUUGAAGUGUCCGUGAAGAUACGGACUACCUACAGCAGGACAGAAAGACCCCGUGGAGCUUUACUGUAGCUUGGCUUUGUGUUUUGAAAUGCUUUGUGCAGGAUAGGUGGGAGGCUAUGAAACUAAAUCGUCAGAUUUAGUGGAGCCAUCCUUGAGAUACCACCCUGAGUAUUUUGAACCACUAACCGCACGCCGUUAUCCGGGUGUGGGACAGAGUCUGGUGGGCAGUUUGACUGGGGCGGUCGCCUCCUAAAAGGUAACGGAGGCGCUCAAAGGUUCACUCAGAACGGUAGGAAACCGUUUGUAGAGCGUAAGGGUAUAAGUGAGCUUGACUGCAAGACCUACAAGUCGAGCAGGGACGAAAGUCGGACCUAGUGAUCCGGUGACUCCGUAUGGAAGG